RNAcentral lists this ribosomal RNA (213 nucleotides) under Orbiliales sp. RNAcentral's name for it is "partial large subunit ribosomal RNA". The record is from RNAcentral. Lineage: Eukaryota; Fungi; Ascomycota; Orbiliomycetes; Orbiliales.
AAGCGCUUGCAAUCAGACUUGCUUUCGGUUGAUCAUUGUUCCUUAUGGUUCAUGCACUCUUCCGUUAUGCAGGCCAGCAUCAGUUAGAGCGGUAAGAUAAAAACUUGAGGAAUGUGGCUCUCUUCGGGGAGUGUUAUAGCCCUCGGUGCAAUGCCGCCUACCUAGACCGAGGACCGCGCUUCGGCUAGGAUGCUGGCGUAAUGGUUGUAAGCG